AUUCCUUUGAUUUUGGGGACAACAGAAAGCGAGCGGCACCUAUAAUACAUGCUUGGGAACAUUACUAUAUGUCCCGGACGGGUGAGUAAUACCCUAGAACUAACCAAUUGGACACUAGAAAAUAGUGAAAGACAAAGUAUAUGCAAACAUAGCCAAUUGAUAAUCUGAGGUCGUAUUAGGUAAAGGGUUAGUCCUGCCAAAGAUGCGUAGUCGAAAGGCCACACUUCCACUGGGACAAGGGGGAGACUCGUAAAGAGGCUGCAGUAGAGAAUCUUGUGCAAUGUACGAAAGUAUGACACAGGGAUGUCGCAGAAGAUAGACCGUUAAAUAUACGUGCCAGCCAACGCGGUUAUACGUAAGGUCUAAGUUUUUGUUAAGAGAGGCGUAAAGGGUGUGCAGGCAAAUGAGUUAAAGGGGGGUAAAUAGAACUUUUAUGUAGCGGUAGAAUGCUUUAAGAUAAACAGGAACAUCGAAAGCGAAAGCAAUUAACCACUUUAAACUGGCGCUCAAGCACGAAAGUAGGGGGAACAAACAGGAUUAGAUACCCUGGUAGUCCUUACUGUAAACUAUGAAGGUUAGAUUAUAAUAGUCUACGAAAACUCAAAAGAUUCCGCCUGAGGAGUACGAUCGCAAGAUUCAAAUUUAAAAAAUUUGGCGGUUCACUAAACCAAUUAGAGGAGCGUGUAGUUUAAUUCGAUGAUCCGCGAUUAACCUUACCAAAACUUGAAUAUUUAAUACGUAAAUAGAUGAGUAUUAAGUACAGGUAUUGCAUGGCCGUCGUCAGUUUGUGUUGUGAAAGAAAUAGAAGGGACCCAACCCUUAACGAUAAUUUUAUUAUAAAUUACGGGAGUAAGGAUGACGUCAGGCCCUUAUGAUCCAAAUGUUUUGGGCGAUAUAUGCGCUACAAUCUUUUACACAAAGAGGUUUAGGAAACUCUAAAAUAAAAGCUCGGAUUGCCCCUUGAAACAGGGGUAUAAAGUUGGAUUUAAUAGUAAUCGAAAAGUAGAGCGUUUCGGUGAAUACGGCUCUAGUGUUCGUACAAAUCGCCCGUCAUCUCCACCAAGUAAAUAAUUUUUAGGUGUUCAACUUGAGUUAAAGAAAUAAAUAUUAAAUAUUAAUCUAUAUAGACUCAAUAGCUUCGGAUUGGCAUUAGGGAGAGUUUAUAAGGCGGAGAAAGUCGUAACAUAGUGAGGGUAUUGGAAAAUGUCCUCGGAUUAAU
This 1219-nucleotide ribosomal RNA is filed under the name Cinachyrella kuekenthali. RNAcentral's name for it is "small subunit ribosomal RNA". It matches the Rfam family "Bacterial small subunit ribosomal RNA". The record is from RNAcentral. Lineage: Eukaryota; Metazoa; Porifera; Demospongiae; Tetractinellida; Tetillidae.